Molecule: ribosomal RNA, 497 nt
Filed under: uncultured bacterium
Lineage: Bacteria
Description: partial 16S ribosomal RNA
Rfam family: Bacterial small subunit ribosomal RNA
Source: RNAcentral
GACGAACGCUGGCGGCGUGCCUAAUACAUGCAAGUUGAGCGCUGAAGGCUGGUACUCGUACCAACUGGAUGAGCAGCGAACGGGUGAGUAACGCGUGGGGAAUCUGCCUUUGAGCGGGGGACAACAUUAGGAAACGAAUGCUAAUACCGCAUAAAAACUUUAAACACAAGUUUUAAGUAUGAAAGAUGCAAUUGAAUCACUCAAAGAUGAUCCCGCGUUGUAUUAGCUAGAUGGUGAGGUAAAGGCGCACCAAGGGGAUGAUACAUAGCCGACCUGAGAUGGUGGUUGGCCGAAUUGGGACGGAGACCCGGCCCAAACUGCCACGGGAGGGAGCCAGAGGGAAACGUCGGGAAUCGGUGGAAGACUGACCGAACAAGGCCGAAGGAGGGUAGAAGGUUGUCGGGUCGGAAAACUCGGUUUGUAGAUAAGAACCUUUGUUAGAGAGGGAAGCUGAUUAAGUGACGGUAACUAGACAAAAAGGGCCGGCUAACUACGUG